AGCGAUCAAAAUAUUAUCUCUCCAUCAUUCAAGUCCAGAGAGAACCAAGUUCAAAACUUUUGAAGAUAUACUGAAGAAAAGGGAGAGAGGGAGAGGAGACUUUUACCAAGAUCUCCCUAGUUCCUACACUCUCCACCUAAAUCUACAUUAAAAUCUAAAUUAAAAUCUCUCAAAAAGAAUAUUGAAAAACAAAACUCCCAGCAAUUUGAAAGCAGAGAAGGGGAAGAUGGAGGGAGAGGCUUAGAUUCACCAAUUGAUCUGCAACUAAUAAAUCAAAACAGCUGCAAACGGUUGCUUGCAGAACAACAGCAGCAGACCAUCCAAGAUUGCCUCACCGUCAAGAGAAUAGUUACUUUCCUCUCAAAAUGUAGCAAAACCCUCAUCCAAGAAUCAUCCAGCCUCUUUGUAUAGAACACAAAAGCAAUGCCGCUCUCCCAGUUUGCGAAACAAUGAAGAAGAAGAAAAGCCAAAUAGAAGAAACAUAAGCAAUGCUGCUCUCCCAGUUGUAUAGGGAUUAGUCUAAUAGUUCUGAGAUUAUGCAAAUGCAUUUUCAGAAGAUCAUGUCCUUGUCUCAUGGCAACGGCAAAUGAUACUAUUUGAAAGUUGUGCUAAGAGAACCAAACAAUUU
RNAcentral lists this long non-coding RNA (628 nucleotides) under Phoenix dactylifera (date palm). RNAcentral's name for it is "long non-coding RNA (PDAC_LNC014642)". Lineage: Eukaryota; Viridiplantae; Streptophyta; Magnoliopsida; Arecales; Arecaceae. The record is from RNAcentral.